Molecule: long non-coding RNA, 299 nt
Filed under: Lupinus angustifolius (narrow-leaved blue lupine)
Lineage: Eukaryota; Viridiplantae; Streptophyta; Magnoliopsida; Fabales; Fabaceae
Description: long non-coding RNA (LANG_LNC000833)
Source: RNAcentral
UCCUUUCACACCGUGACCCCUCAGCGGUCGUGUGAUUGUGCUUUGACCCCUCAAUGGUCUCCUUUAUCCUUUUGCACCCCGACCCCUCAGCGGUCGCGUGAUUGUGCUUUGACCCCUCAGUGGUCUCUGUAUCCUUUUGCAUCCCGGACGCCUCAGCGGUCGCGUGAUUGUGCUUUGACCCCUCAGUAGUCUCCGUAUCCUUUUGCACCCCGACCCCUCAGCGGUUGCGUGAUUGUGCUUUGACCCCUCAGUGGUCUCUGUGAUCCUUUUGUACCCCGACCCCUCAGCGGUCGCGUGAU